This 29-nucleotide transfer RNA is filed under the name Koyamasia calcarea. RNAcentral describes it as "partial tRNA-Phe". Lineage: Eukaryota; Viridiplantae; Streptophyta; Magnoliopsida; Asterales; Asteraceae. The record is from RNAcentral.
AGCUCAGUUGGUAGAGCAGAGGACUGAAA